RNAcentral lists this ribosomal RNA (419 nucleotides) under uncultured Desulfovibrio sp. Its description in RNAcentral is "bacterial SSU rRNA". It matches the Rfam family "Bacterial small subunit ribosomal RNA", at positions 943 to 1382 of the family's 1533-position model. Lineage: Bacteria; Pseudomonadati; Thermodesulfobacteriota; Desulfovibrionia; Desulfovibrionales; Desulfovibrionaceae. The record is from RNAcentral.
GGUAAACCGAAUUCCCCCGGGGAAAGUUUACCCUUUGAAACGAGGGAAGUGCCUCGCAAGUAGGAGCCUGAGACAGGUGCUGCAUGGCUGUCGUCAGCUCGUGUCGUGAGAUGUUGGGUUAAGUCCCGCAACGAGCGCAACCCUUGUCUUUAGUUGCCAUCAUUCAGUUGGGCACUCUAAAGAGACUGCCGGUGUCAAAACCGGAGGAAGGUGGGAUGACGUCAAGUCCUCAUGGCCUUUAUGUCUAGGGCUACACACGUACUACAAUGGCCGGUACAAAGGGCAGCCACUCAGCGAUGAGGCGCUAAUCCCAUAAAGCCGGUCUCAGUCCGGAUCGCAGUCUGCAACUCGACUGCGUGAAGUUGGAAUCGCUAGUAAUCGUAGAUCAGCAUGCUACGGUGAAUACGUUCCCGGGCCUU